AUGGGAGAGGCAUCGCCGGAGUCCAGCGGCGCGGUGGCCGGAGGGCCGUCUGUCCCGGGGCCGCCGAGGAAGGGGAAGUCGUGCAAGGGCUGCCUCUACUACUCGUCGGUGCUCAAAUCCCGGGGAUACAACCCCAUCUGCGUGGGGAUCCCUCGCUCCAUCCCCCAAGUCCCGGGCUUCGUGGUGGAAGAGCCUAGGGAGGAGGCCGCGGCGCAGGGGCAUGAUCUGAGACAGUUCAAAUACGCCUGUGCCGGUUACUCCAUGUUCGUCGACGACAGAGACGCCAAAAGCGGCGAGAAUGACGCCAAGGCGCUGUUGCCGUAUUGCCAGGGCCUCGAGCUAUUGGUGGACAGCAGAAUGGUCGAGAGAAAAUCACCCGCUGUAGAGCAUGCUUCAACGCGUAAUCCGAAACCAAAAGAAGCUGCUGCUGCUGCUGCUGCCACGCAGCCUCUGGAGCAAGGACAGCGACCACAGCUGGCGAGACAGGAAUUCAUGGCGAGGUUCAGGAGGAGCGCCGGGCUGGUGGCCUCAGGGGUCGCCAAGAACCUCAACAAAACGGGCAGCUACAUCAAGCAAAACGUCGAGGACAUAUUUUCCCCUGACCGACGGCCACCACCCAAGCAGUAG
RNAcentral lists this ribosomal RNA (627 nucleotides) under Triticum aestivum (bread wheat). RNAcentral's name for it is "partial small subunit ribosomal RNA". Lineage: Eukaryota; Viridiplantae; Streptophyta; Magnoliopsida; Poales; Poaceae. The record is from RNAcentral.